Rattus norvegicus (Norway rat) is the source of this 1446-nucleotide non-coding RNA. NCBI's taxonomy places the organism in Eukaryota, Metazoa, Chordata, Mammalia, Rodentia, Muridae. The record is from RefSeq and is a predicted model, not a curated record.
CCUGCGGGGAGGGAGAGAGAAGGGAGGUGGACAGGAUCUCAGCUACUCCCAGGGCAGGAUGCUCACUGGGAAUGAGUCAGGGCCAUAAGGACUCUCAUGAUGACUCUGAGUGUUGAGUUACAGAUACUGAAACUGAGGGGUGGUAGGAAAGGAACCAUCCGAGGCCAACAUUUUCCCAAGUGGACCUCACAACUCCCGGUGCCUCUGUCUUUCUUUCUGUGUGUCUAUCUCUCUCCUUCAUCCACCCCUUUCCUCUGCAGUAUCAUGGGGAGAGGAGACCAGAACACUGGAGAUCGGGGGCAAUGACAGAAACGAGCUGAGGCAAGAUGCAAAGAUAUCCUCAGUUAAGAACCAGUGAGGAAGGUCCAGCCACUACAGCAAUCCUGUGGCCCAGCACCAGCGGACAUGACAGCUCUUACGUGCUGGGCACUAUGCUGGCACUGAAAUAUUUACACAGCAGCAGCAGCAGCUUGUUCACCUCUCACAAUACCCGUGUUGUGGAGAGGUUAAGUAAUGUGGCCAAGGAGUAACCACAGGAGUCCUUGCCAUAGGCCCCACUGUCUCAAGGAGGUUGGAGAGUUGGAGACAGUCCCCAGGGCACCAGAGGGAUGUCACUGCAGCCUGCCUUUGCUCCAAGGUGGCAAGUCUAUUGUUAGUUCAGGAUGUGGAGACUAUGUAGCCAGCUGUGGAGGCCAUGAUGGCUUGGACAGAGGACACCAGCCUAGGAAGACAGAGGAAGGAGUGAGAAUAAGCCAAGCUGUGCUUAGCUUCCAUCCUUCCAUCCCGCCUCUCCCAGCCUUCUUCAUUCCUAGUUUGUGGCAGUGGAAUCUUCUUCCUCUCAGGACACCAAGGAGGCCAUCCUGAGGUAAGCCAGUGUUGGGAAUGGCUAACUGAGAUCUCUCCCAGGGGAGGGAGGGAGGGGACCCGUGAGGACUAAGGGAGUACCCCGUUGUCCCUACACCCUUUGGCCACCCAGUCACCAUAUCAUACUUACAGUCACUGGUCCCAUGGUGACCCCAAGCUCACCCACCCACCCACCCACUCCACCACUUUCCCACUAUUUCCCUGACUGUUACCAUGGUUCCUGUUCCUGAUGGCCCUAGUCUAGGGAUGCACAAGUUUCACUGCCUACUUUUCUGUUCCUUCACCCCAAACACAAGCCCCGAAAAACACAGUCUUGCCCCUCAGCUUGCUCCCGGGUGUCUUGUGGGACUGUUUAGUCACAUGCUGCCCUGCUUUAGAGGGAGGAUAGGAGGGUGAGGAGGGAAGCAAGAGGACCGAGCUGAAUAGUAGAUCAGAUGGCUGGGUUUCAAUGAGGUCCAAGGAGGAAGGAAGCUUGGAUGUAAGCCUGCCCACCACCACACAGCCCAGGGGUGUGCUGGGGUCCCUUUCCCACGAAGCCUGUUGGAGAGAGGGGCUGAACUCAGGGAGGGCAUGCCAUUUACC